AAACCACUGACUGAGCACUCUGAAGGAGAGUUAAAGGUUUUAAGAGAAUGAAGAAAAUUUCAAACGUUCACUAAGGAGAACGGGCAAAAGAGUUGACUAAGAAAAUAGAAAAGGAUACCAAGAAAUCAUUGAAGAAGAGAUUAAAGUUAGAGGACAUUAUUUUGUAUUUGUAUAAAUGUGCAUGUUUCCUCAAUUUUUCUCCAGCACAUACAUUACUCUGGGCAUGAGCACAGAAAGCAAGACAAUUGCCAGGAGAAUGUAAUGAAAAAUGAGUUGAAACACUGAAAAAGAUAAAGUACAUCAGUGGAAUAUGAACAGAUUAGGAAAUAAAAUAAAGAAGAUGAGUGGGCUGUGGAAAUAAAAGGAAUCACAAAACUGGAGGCUUAAUGAAGUUAAAGAACAUGUGGACUAGGAAAACCAAGAUGGUUGAAAAGACAGCAGAUUGUGAACACACAAAAAAUUCUGAGCUUAAAUUGUCAGCAGCAGUAAAGCAAUAUCAAGUAAUGAGAAUUCCAGCUGUGAGGCUGUAUGAGUGAUUUGCUGGAGAGGCACAGAAUUAUAGGUCAAUGGAGAUAAAGUCAUCCAUAAACUACAAACAAGGGAGUUGAAGGAGCCAUCCAGGGACAUUUAGAAAUGUGGUUUAGUCAAAUGGCAUGAAACUUUCAGAAAUAAAGAAUCAAGAUUAAAAACUGCCGAGAAUAUCCUAACACAGACUGUUCUUAUAAGAAUUUCAGUCGACGUUUGGAAACUUGAAAGGUUUGGGUGGUUUGGCUAAAGGUCAACCAAGAAUCAAACAUUUUAACUGCUUAUUCAGACUGAACUUUUCAACCAUCUCAUGUUGUUCUUUUUACUACUAUACAGUAAUGAUAAAAACCACUGUUUUUUUCUUAAUUUACUAAGGCAAAUAUUUGCAAAUACUAUACAAAUAGCAGCAUUUAAAUUUGUAACUAAUUUAUUUUUCUUGCAUUAAGCUAUGAGAGCAAUGUAAUCAUAAAAUCAUUCAUUAUUAAAGUGACCAGUUUAAUACUUCAAGCUAUUUUACUCAGUAAUAAAAGAGCUUCAAUAACAAAUGAAAUGUUCUUCUUUCCUGAAGGAGCAUAAAUUAUAAAAGUUUGUGAAUUUGAUUAAUUUUUUGGUAGUUUCCAUGAAGUAGUUGGUUAUAUUUGUGAUUGAUUGAAUAUAGGAGGGUUCUGAUUUUACAUGCAAGCUGAUUUUAAGGGGUAAGAAAGCUUUGAAUUUUUCUUUGACCCAAAUCAUUGGCAAUAAUUUUAUGCAUCACACUAUUACUCUUAUCAAUUAGGUUGAGAUUAUCUUUAUUAAUUGUCUCAGUCACAAUGCCCCAAGCCACAACUAGAAUUUAUAAAUCAGAACUGCAGGAGAGGAAACCUGGUCCUCAGAAUUUCUUUAAACUCUCACAAGUAAAACUGAUGAUCACCCUCUUAGAGCAGUAAUUUUCAGUAUCAACAGACUACCUUCUUUAUUUCUGGAUGGUAAAUAUAAAAGCCAUUCAUUUUGAUAAAAGGAUAAGAUCAAAUUUAAAACAAAAGUAUUUAUAUAUUACAUAAUUAUAAUGCAAUUUAUAUAAUAAAGUAAUAUGGAUUUCAAAAUAUAAAUCUUAGGCAGUACUACAGGAAAAUACAAAUUACAUUAAUCAAAUAUGUGUACUUACAAAGCAGUGACCUCCUUUUCCUAUCACUCACACUAUCCCCUCAAAAAAAAGAAGGGUCAGGAGGUUUUUAAAUUGCUUUCCUGAAUAUCACUGGGUAUGGUGUUCUGAUGAGGCAUGUGCCUCUGCUCCUCACUCUGUAGUAAGUGGUUGAUCAUACUUCCAAUCUUCUAAAAAUAAUAGUAGAAAUAUAAUAAUGCUAAUAAUUGUUAAUAUUUAUAAACACUUGAUAGUGCCAGGAGCUGUUCUAAGUACUUCACAUAUUAAUAAUUAAUUAAAUUUUAACAUGAAGAGUAAGAGUUAGGUACUCUUAUUCCUAUUUUGUAGAUUAAACCAAACCAAACCAAACAUGAAACCUGUUUAGAAAACUUCAUCGAAUUAUCACUCCACAUUCUAGCCAUUUCAAACUAUUUGUAUGCCCUGAAAGUAUUAUGCUUUUUUUCUGUUUUGUCCGUGAGCAUUGCAAACAAUAUUCCCUGUACCUGCGUAAGAGAGGGAAAAUGUCUUCUGUGUACCCUUCUAUGUUCUUUGGCCUAUGAAUUAAAUUGACAUAAGACAGAUUAACAGGAGAAAAUUAUUUUAAUUACAUGCGUUUGCACUGGAGUCCCACAAAACAUGAGAUUCAAAGAAGGGUCAGAUGAUUGAAGCUUAUAUGGCAUCCUGAGCUACAGAAAGGAAUUCCAUUCCCAUAUAUGUCAAAGAUGUCUCUGCCUGAGAGCUUUUUCUCAACUCACACGCUGUGUAAGGCUAGAAGUGACCACGAUUAAACCCUUAGUUGUUGCCACUCAUUCAUUUAUAGAAAUGAAUUGAAGGAUAAGUGUCUCAGGUUUUUUGAAAUUUGGAUUAGAAAACUUGGCCAUCUACCAGGGGUUUUCCUUAAGACUGAACCUUAGUGCCUCAGGGAUAACCUGGCUAGUUAAAGCACCUUUUAUUAAUUUUGUUUCCUCUCCUAUCUUACUUCCCACUUCUUUACUGAUUUUUCGUGCAGUUAAUUUGCAAUCAAAUCCUUUUCUUUUCUUUUUUCUUUUUUUUUUUUUUAAGAUGAAGUCUCACUCUGUCGCCAGGCUGGAGUGUAGUAGCACGAUUUCGGCUCGCUGCAACCUCCAACUCCCUGGUUUAAGUGAUUCUCCUGUCUCAGCCUCCCUAGUAGCUGGGAUUACAGGCAUGCACCGCCAUGCCCAGCUAAUUUUUGCAUUUUUAGUAGAGACGGGGUUUCACCAUGUUGGCCAGGAUAGUCUCAAUCUCCUGACCUCGUGAUCCACCCGCCUCAGCCUCCCAGAGUGCUGGGUUACAGGCGUGAGCCACCACACCCGGCCCAAAUCCUUUUCUUGAAGUAUGCCUCUAGGGAACUCAGCUAAAGAGUGUUGGUGAAGGAUGAGAUUCUGGAGUUAGAUCACUUGCUGUGCAAAUGUCAACAAGGCCCUCCUUGCUGUUAGUAACUGGGUUAAUAAUUAUCCACAGCAUCCUAUACAAUGCAACUACUCAUAUGGAUUAGAUUAGAAAACCCAGAAGACUUGUAGAAUUUAGCACUGGUUUAUGUAAUAGCUCUAGUGCUUAAAAGAAUGCUAAUUAUGCAUAUUGUGAUAUUGUUUGGUGAUUGUUAACACCAUAGAAGCCCCAAAGAAGGAAAGUAACAAACAUAGAAUAGCAAACAAAAUGACUUAUAGUGUGACUUUCAGAAAGUGUCCUUGGUGGCACUUUAGGAGACCCUUAUCAAUUCUGGCUAGAGACAGGAGUGUGUUGAAAACUACAAUCUUAAUUGUAACAAGCGCACACCACAAAGGAAGCUUAAUUUACAGCCAUAGCAGGGCUUCUCCUGUGUUAAAGCCAAAGCUGUGUUAACAAAUAAAUGAGACCCUUAGGCCAGAAUAUUUGGGUAGAGAUGCAUGCGAGAGGUGUUUAAACCUCUAGGUAGCCCUAAACAGUCUAAGCAGGAUGGGAAGAUUUCACUCUCCUUGCUGGAGAAACACAGCCUCAUACUAUUAUGAGAAGGACUCACCUGAAGUUAAGGCCCUGCCAAAUGAUUCUUGGCCUCCUUUAAGGUGUCUCCACCACUGCUCACAGCUUCUAGCCCAAUAAGGAAAUUCAAGUCUCACCACAGCUCAGGUAAAGUAUAGUUCCUGCUAUGGGAGGGAAAUUAUACACUAAAAGAAUUCUAGGUCCUGGCUAAUAUGUACCAGCAGAAAUCUGUAGAACAUGCUAGGCAAUUGAUCUUGAGGAUGUGGGACCAGAAAAGAUGAAGUAAAGGCCGGUAGAAAAUUGCUGACAUAGGGCCACUCACUCAUCAUUUAGAAUUGAAUAAUGCCUUAAGAAUGCUGGAGAUAGGUCUAAUAUGUUUCAAUAAUUAUUCCUUGAAGCUUGGAAACACCAAGUAAAUGAGGUAGAUAUGUCAGAACUGCUCCAGCAAUUAAGAAAGCAGACAGAAGUAUCAGAAAAGUGAGCAUGUACAAACAGAUUUAUUCUACAAGACCAGAAAAAUCACCAGCGGACAAUGUUUGAGGGUCCUGCAGCUGGACACCCGGGAAGGAGCUGGUUUUGGUCUGGUUUGAGCAUCAUGGAGCUGGACACCCAGGGAAGGGCUGUGUUUUUCUGGUUUGAGGGUCAUGGGGCUGGACAACCAGGGAGGAGCUGGUGUUUUUUUGGUUUAGGGGUCAUGGAGCUGGAGAUACGGUGCGGGGGUGGGGGCAGUGUUGUUCUAGUUUGAGGGUGGAGGAGCUGGAAAUCCAGGGGUAGGAGUGAUUUUCUAGUUUGAGGUCGUUUGAGGGUCAGCUGCACAACCCUCAACCUGGAGGGACACCAGCUCCCCCCUGGGUCUCCAGCUCCACAAACUUCUCACUGGAGAAACACUAGCUCCUCCCCGGAUCUCCAGCUCCAUGGCCCUCAGACUAGAGCCGCAUCAGCUCCUCCUCAGGUCUCCAGCUCUACAACCCUCAAGCUGGAACAGUGUCAGCUCCUCUCCAGGUCUGCAGAUCCACGACCUUCAAAUGAAAACAACAUCAGCUCCUCCUUGGAUCUCCAGCUCCAUGACCCUCAGACUUAAACAAGAGCAGCACCAGCUUCUCCCUGGGUCUCCAGCUCUAUGACCUUCAGACUUAAACAAGAGCAGCACCAGCUUCUCCCUGGGUCUCCAGCUCCAUGACCCUUGAAGUAGGAAAACAUCAGCUCCUCCUUGUAUCUCCAGCUCCAUGACCCUCUGAUCAGAAAAACAUCAGCUCCUCCCCAGGUCUCCAGUUCCACGACCCUCGAACUAGGAAAACAUCAGCUCCUCCCUGUGUCUCCAGCACCAAGACCCUCUGAUCAGAAAAACAUCGGCUCCUACCUGAGUCUCCAGAUACAGGAGCCUCAAACUAGAAAAACAUCAGCUCCUCCCAGGGUCUCCAGCUCCAUGACCCUCAAACUAGAAUAACAUCAGCUCCUUCCCAGGUCUCCAGCUGCACGACCAUCAAACUAGAACAUCAGCUCCUCCCCAAGUCUUCAGCUGCAUGACCCUCAAACUAGAACAUCAGCUCCUCCCAAGGUGUCCAGCUGCAUGACCGUCAAACUAGAACAUCAGCUUGUCCCCGAGUCUUCAGAUGCACAACUCUCAAACUAGAACACCAGCUCCUCUCCGGGUCUCCAGCUGCACGACCCUCACACUAGAAAGACGCCAGCUCCUCCGGGUUCUACAGCUGCAUGACCCUCCAAGUAAAAAAAACACCUGUUCCUCACAGGGUCUACAGCUGAACGAACCUCAGACUAGAAAAACACCAGCUCCUCCCCAGGUCUCAACCUGCAAGACCCUCAAACUAGAACAACAUAAGCUCCUCCCUGGGUUUCCAGCUCAAGGAACCUCAAACUAGAAUAACGCUAGCUUCUCCCUGGGUGUCCAGCUCCACUACACUCUGAUCAGAAAAACAUCAGCUCCUACCUGAGUCUCCAGCUUCAGGACCCUCAAACUAGAACAUCAGCUCCUCUCCGAGUCUCCAGCUGCACGACACUCAGACUAGAAAAACUCCAGCUCCUCCCAAGUUCUACAGCUACAUGACUCUGAAACUAAAAAACACCCUCUCCUGCCUAGGGCUUCAGCUGAACUAACCUCAAACUAGAACACCACCAACUCCUCUCUGGGUAUCCAGCUCCAUGACCCUCAAACAAGAAUAACACCAGCUCCCCCCUUGGUCUCCAGCUCCAUGACCCUUAAAACAGAACAACAUCAUCUCCUCCCCGGGUCUCAAGCUGCAUAACCCCCAAAAUAGAACAUCAGCUCCUUUCCAGGUCUCCAGCUGCAGGACACUUAUACUAGAAAAACACCAGCUCCUCCCGGGUUCUACAGCUGCGUGACCCUCAAACUAAUGAAACACCAGCUCCUCUCUGGGUCUCCAGCUGCACGAACCUCCAACUAGAACAACACCAGCUCCUCUCUGGGUCUCCAGCUCCAUGACCCUCAAACGAGAACAUCAGCUCCUCUCCAGGUGUCCAGCUGGAUGACCCUCAAACUAGAACAUCAGCUCCUCUCCGGGUCUCCAGCUGCACAACACUCAUACUAGAAAAACGCCAGCUCCUCCUGGGUUCUACAGCUGCACAACCCUCUAACUAAAGAAACACCAGCUCCUCUCUGGGUCUCCAGCUGCACGAACCUCAAACUACAACAUCAGCUCCUCUCCAGGUUUCCAGCAGCAGGACACUCAUACUAGAAAAACACCAGCUCCUCCUGGGUUCUACAGCUGCACGACCCUCAAACUAAAGAAACACCAGCUCCUCUCUGGGUCUCCAGCUGCAUGAACCUCAAAUUAGAACAACACCAGCUCCUCUCUGGCUCUCCAGCUCCAUGACCCUCAAACUGGAACAACAUCAGCUCCUCUCCAGGUCUCCAGCUGAGAGACCCUUAAAUGAGAACAACAUCAGUUCCUCCCCGAGUCUUCAGCUGCACGACCCUCAAACUAGAACAUCAGCUCCUCUCUGGGUCUCCAGCUGCAGGGCCCUCAAACUACCACAUCAGCUCCUCCCCGAGUCUGCAGCUGCACGACCCUCAAACUAGAACAUCAGCUCCUCUCUGGGUCUCCAGCUGCAGGGCCCUCAAACUACCACAUCAGCUCCUCCCCGAGUCUGCAGCUGCACGACCCUCAAAUUAGAACAUCAACUCCUUUCCGGUUCUCCAGCUGCAGGACACUCAAAUUAAAAAACGCCAGGUCCUCCAGGUUCUACAGCUGCACAUCCCUCAAACUAAAAAAAACUCCUGCUCCUUCCCAGGUCUCUAGCUGCACGAACCUCAUACUAGAACAGCACCAGCUCCUCUCUGGGUCUCCAGCUGCAAGACCCCCAAACUAGAACAACAUCCACUCCACCCAGGUUCUACGGCUGCACAACUCUCAAACUAAAGAAACACCAGCUCAUCUGCCGGUCUCCAGCUGCAUGAACCUCAAACUAGUACAACAGCUCCUCUCCGGGUCUUCAGCUGCAGGACACUCAUACUAGAAAAACGCCAGCUCCUCCCGGGUUCUACAGCUGCAUGACCCUCAAACUGAAAAACACCCGCUCUUCCCCAGGUCUCCAGCUGCAUGAACCUCAAACUAGAACAACAAGUCAAUACGAGAAAAACGCCAGCUCCUCCCGGGUUCUACAGCUGCAUGAUCCUCAAACUGAAAAACACCUGCUCCUCCCCAGGUCUCCAGCUGCACAAACCUCAAACUAGAACAACACCAGCUGCUCUCUGGGUCUCCAGCUGAAUGACCCUCAAACUAGAACAUCAGCUCCUCCCUGAGUCUUCAGCUGCACGACCCUCAAAAUAGAACACCAGCUCCUCUCCGGGUCUUCAGCUGCAAGACACUCAUACUAGAAAUUCACCAGCUACUCCCAGGGUCUGCAGCUGCACAACCCUCAAACAAAAAACACCAGCUCCUUCCCAGGUCUUCAGCUGCAAGACCCUCAAACUAGAAAAAUACCAGCUCCUCCCCAGGUCUUCGGCUCCAUGACCCUCCAAUUAAAACAACAUCAGCUCCUCCCGGGUCUCCAGUUGCACGACGCUCCAAUUAGAACACCUCUCCCCGCUGGAUCUCCAGCUCCAUGACCCUAACAGAAGAACAGCAACACCAGCUCCUUCAUUGGUCUUCAGCUCCACAACCUAAGACAUCAGUGGCAGCACUGGCUCCUCUGUGGACCUCCAGCUCAACGACUCUCAGACUUAAAAGGCAGCAACGUCUCCUCCCCAGGGCUCCAUCUCCACCACUCUCAGAUUUGAACAGCGGUCGCACCAGCUCCUGUCCGGGUUUUCAGCCCAAUGACCCUCCCUGAACAAUCCCUUCUCAUGAAAUUCAGCAGUCAAGUAAAUGAAUAAAUGUUUUGUUUUCAAAUAAUAAAAAUAAAAAUAAAUAAAACUCAGUGUUAGUAUGAACAUGGAGAUAAAUCAAACUAAAAAUUUUUAAUGAUACAAGUCAUUAUAUUUAGAUAUAUAUCUAGAUAAUAUAUUUAGAUAAUCUAAAUAUAUUUAGAUAAUAUAUAUGGUGCUAUAGGGGAGGAAAAAUACCUCUCUUUUUUCCAUCUUAGGCUACUGGCUGAGGCCACAUAACAAAAG
RNAcentral lists this long non-coding RNA (8216 nucleotides) under Homo sapiens (human). RNAcentral describes it as "HSALNT0044737". Lineage: Eukaryota; Metazoa; Chordata; Mammalia; Primates; Hominidae. The record is from RNAcentral.